CUCACAGACUCUGCAGCAGGGUUUCUAUGAUUAACUCUUAAGUACUCCACAACUACACGCUUUUGAAACUGGCGUUGGCAUAGCGUUAGUUCUGUGCAGGGCGGACGCAGCAGGACAGAAUCUCCCUGGGCAUCUUUUCGGAGCAUCAAUUUUACUGCAAAAUUUUGAAAAAACAAAUUUAAUUGAUUUCCAAGGUUUGUCAAGGAGGACAGAAACUCAGAGCACCCUGCACUUGGGGAUCGGCACUAGGAGCUGCUCUCUGGAUGGGGAGAUGGGAGCUAGCAGCUCACAAUGGGGUCACAAGAAUAUUGGUUCUUCUUUUAUCUGAACUGAGGAGCACCAGAGGACUGAUCAUGGCAUAGACAUUCACUACAAGACUCUGAACUUGCUGGUUGAUUGGGCCAUAUGCCCACAACAUUGCUGAGGAGAAGGAGAUGAUGAAAUCCACCCAACAGAGGACCACAGAGAAACUUACCAGCAGCAGUAUGGUCUGGAUGGCCCAUUUCUCAGGGGAAGCUCCUGGGGAAGGACCAUUGCUGUGAAGGUGGUGGGAUCACCUCUGAGGCCUGAAUAAGAGAGUCACCAUGUAUGCAAUUAAGAACAGCAGUAUUCCUACCAGGAAAGCAUCCCUAAGUGUUGUCAGAAUAAGAAACGUGGCCCUGAGGAUGAAGCUCAUGGAGAAAACUGGGCAGUACUUACCUAUAUUCAGUACAUUUGUCUGGCUCACACUGGAAGCAGCUACAGUGUAGAAGAUCCUGUUACUACUGAAAGACAAGUUGAGGAACCAUAAGAAGAAGAAAACAUGGAUAAUGUAAUUUGAAGAUUUAUGUUUAAACCUUGCCAAUCAGGAGGUGCUGGGGCUGAUGGUGGUGGCCUGGAACACACUCAGGGGGCAGGUGGUGCAGAUGGAGAGGCCCCACAACACCCUGCUCAGGUGGAAAAGUGCCUUACACUUGAAGUCAUUCUGAAGUUCAAUGAUGCAAACAGGUUUGGAGACUGCAAUAACAGUGCAAUGAAGAAGUUCACUAUGUGGACGAGGGGCAAGGGACAGAUGAUCAAGUCAGUGGGUUUUAGUCUGUGAUACAGAAGGAGAGUGAAGAUGCUGAAGAGGAACAGAAAAGUAUUGGCUGAGAUUCCAACAGCAACUUGUAAAACAAAGCAGCUUUUUAAUAACAUAUAUGAUAUGUAUGUACAUUGUAGUGGCAAAGAGGAAACAUUUGUAUAUCUGAAAAAACAAGUUUAGACAUCUUCAGUGCUGUUCUAUAGUUAAAAUUAUCACAACUAUGAUUAUGUUUAUUUCUCCCAAUUAUUAAGACUUACAAUGUAAUAUAAAUUAUUAGAAAAUACUCCUUCAGCAUUACAUGUAUUUAUUUGCACAAUGCUUCAGUGUGUGUGUGAGACACUAUACAUAAAUGUAUAUGUCAGCAUUACACAUAUAUAUAGUCAGCAUUAAUUUUAUGCCAAGUAACAUAUAUAUAAUGUGUUUGUGCAUAAUCGUUUUUUUUUGUUUUGUAGGGACAGGAUCUUAUUCUGUUGCCCAGCCUGGUCUCAAGUCCAUGGGCUCAAGUAAUCCUUCUGCCUUGGCCUCCCAAAG
RNAcentral lists this long non-coding RNA (1594 nucleotides) under Pan troglodytes (chimpanzee). Its description in RNAcentral is "long non-coding RNA NONPTRT015651". Lineage: Eukaryota; Metazoa; Chordata; Mammalia; Primates; Hominidae. The record is from RNAcentral.